GCUAAACGCGAAGAACCUUACCUGGGUUUGACAUGUAGAGAAAAGCCAUAGAGAUAUGGUGUCCUUCGGGUUCGUACACAGGUGGUGCAUGGUUGUCGUCAGCUCGUGUCGUGAGAUGUUGGGUUAAGUCCGCACGAGCGCAACCCUUCGUCCUAUGUUGCCAGCACGUCAUGGUGGGGACUCGUAGGAGACUGCCGGGGUCAACUCGGAGGAAGGUGGGGACGACGUCAAAUCAUCAUGCCCCUUAUAUCCAGGGCUGCAAACAUGCUACAAUGGCCGGUACAAAGGGCUGCGAAACCGCGAGGUGGAGCGAAUCCCAUAAAGCCGGUCUCAGUUCGGAUUGGAGUCUGCAACUCGACUCCAUGAAGCUGGAGUUGCUAGUAAUCCCGGAUCAGCAACGCCGGGGUGAAUACGUUCCCGGGUCUUGUACACACCG
RNAcentral lists this ribosomal RNA (436 nucleotides) under uncultured bacterium. RNAcentral describes it as "bacterial SSU rRNA". It matches the Rfam family "Bacterial small subunit ribosomal RNA", at positions 954 to 1392 of the family's 1533-position model. The record is from RNAcentral.